Molecule: unclassified non-coding RNA, 229 nt
Filed under: plant metagenome
Description: partial contains small subunit ribosomal RNA, internal transcribed spacer 1, and 5.8S ribosomal RNA
Source: RNAcentral
UCUCCGUAGGUGAACCUGCGGAGGGAUCAUUACAGAGUUCUCGCCCUCGCGGGUAGAUCUCCCACCCACUGUUAUCGUUACUCUGUUGCUUUGGCGGGCCGCCGGGCCCCGCUCGGCCGCCGGCUCCGGCUGGCGCGCGCCCGCCAGAGGCCCAGCAAACUCUGAAUGUUAGUGUCGUCUGAGUACUAUAUAAUAGUUAAAACUUUCAACAACGGAUCUCUUGGUUCUG